UGGGGAAUAUUGCGCAAUGGGGGGAACCCUGACGCAGCCAUGCCGCGUGAAUGAAGAAGGCCUUAGGGUUGUAAAGUUCUUUCGGUAUUGAGGAAGGUUGAUGUGUUAAUAGCACAUCAAAUUGACGUUAAAUACAGAAGAAGCACCGGCUAGCUCCGUGCCAGCAGCCGCGGUAAUACGGAGGGUGCGAGCGUUAAUCGGAAUAACUGGGCGUAAAGGGCACGCAGGCGGUUAUUUAAGUGAGGUGUGAAAGCCCCGGGCUUAACCUGGGAAUUGCAUUUCAGACUGGGUAACUAGAGUACUUUAGGGAGGGGUAGAAUUCCACGUGUAGCGGUGAAAUGCGUAGAGAUGUGGAGGAAUACCGAAGGCGAAGGCAGCCCCUUGGGAAUGUACUGACGCUCAUGUGCGAAAGCGUGGGGAGCAAACAGGAUUAGAUACCCUGGUAGUCCACGCUGUAAACGCUGUCGAUUUGGGGGUUGGGGUUUAACUCUGGCGCCCGUAGCUAACGUGAUAAAUCGACCGCCUGGGGAGUACGGCCGNNGNUA
Molecule: ribosomal RNA, 545 nt
Filed under: uncultured bacterium
Lineage: Bacteria
Description: bacterial SSU rRNA
Rfam family: Bacterial small subunit ribosomal RNA
Source: RNAcentral